AUCCAGCUGACGAGUCCUAAAUGGAGCGAAAUGGGCAUCCUGGAU
This is a non-coding RNA of Schistosoma curassoni, 45 nucleotides long. The record is from Rfam. Lineage: Eukaryota; Metazoa; Platyhelminthes; Trematoda; Strigeidida; Schistosomatidae.